AUGGCGAACCGCGCCUCAACCACCGAUGACCUCCGCGUGAAGAUUUCCGGCGAUGAGAUCCGGCGUUUGCUUCUUCUGCGGGUAGGAGGCGGAGGAUCCAGCGGUGACACCCACGCUAGGGAUGCAGAGGACAUGCAUGACGCGCGAUGCAAGAUGGUGGUCAUGGGUGGUGAUGCGCAUGUGUGCCACUCCAUCCAUGGCUGA
Molecule: ribosomal RNA, 204 nt
Filed under: Triticum aestivum (bread wheat)
Lineage: Eukaryota; Viridiplantae; Streptophyta; Magnoliopsida; Poales; Poaceae
Description: partial small subunit ribosomal RNA
Source: RNAcentral